GUCACAUGACAUCUAUUGUUCAUCUGGUCACAUGGCAUCUAUUGUUCAUCUGGUCACAUGACAUAUAUUCUUCUGUCCCUCCAGGAGAGGGAUCUUCCUCUGAUGUACUCCCGAGGGUUUCUUCCUAUUUUGACAUUGUGCACGAUUUUUGGGAGUUUUUCCUGAUCCAAUGUGACAUCACAGGACAAAGGAUGUCGUAUGUGCAGCCCUCUCAGGCAAAUGUGUCAUUUAUGAAUUUGGGCUAUACAAAAUAAACUGAGUUGACUUAAUAGAGCUUGGCUGAGCAUUAUGAGCAUGGUGCUGCCCAUGGAUGGGGUGCUACAAUAAAAAACAUAGGGUGUUUUGUCAGUGUUCACAAAAACGUUUUCUUUCCCAGCCUGAAAUAUACCAUGCCCCCACAGCCCUGGCAGCGAAGCAUCUUCUCCAUUUUAAUAUACAAUAAAAAAAUUAACAAGAUACCAACUGCACCAACUGACCACAACUGCACAGACUGCGGCUCCAACAAAGCAGCGACUGCAUCACUGUGUGCAAUGUGUGUGCAUCCGUCUUUAUAAAUUAACCAUGGGUGAAGCAUGAUGUCCACUUGUGCAACACUAAACUAAAUGGUUACGGUUGCUUUCAUCCAGAGAGCGCUUUAUGAAUCACCUCUCAGUUUAUCCAUUCAGUUUAAACGUUACCGAGGCCAAAUAUAAAGCUUGAGGACGUUAAACUUGCACUCCAGGUGUGUUAAUAAAAUGGCACAGCUUUAGGAAGAUGAAUGAACAUCAAUGAUGAGUGGCAGCAAUCAUUACCAUCCGCAUGUUAACAGAGGUCGAGCCCCAGACACAGGCGUGUAUCAGCUCUUUGGUAAUCAUGCAUUAGUCUGGACCCGGAAGGAGCCAUGCACAGCUGGGCCACCCUCACUGUAUACAGGAGAGAAGGGGAACGGACACUGGAGCAGACAUCAUGGAUCACAGAUCAAAUGUGACAUUGAGGGAACUCAUCAAUGUGAUAAUUAAGCACUAACGUCAUGUUGUAUCGAUCUAGACCUUCUCGGGUCAUCCGUUAACAAGGCAGCGGUAAUGAGCUCGUACACGGAAACGCGUUGACGUCAUGUUACCUCCAGGGCACAUAUUCACUGCUUCACUCAGAGAUUGCGAGGCACCUGUAGUCAGCAGAAAAAGAGGGAGCAACAGGAAGAAGAAACCUUGUGAUUCUCUGGACUUUGAAGCCAACAAAGUGACCUCCAGCUGCUCCUCGUGUACAUGUUGUCUCGUGACUAAAAUGUGAAGGAAGCCAACGAGGAAGUGCUUCCUCCUUCCUCACCCCGCAGACACACAACGCCACGCAGACACACUCCACACCAUAUGUUGAGUUUUGGAUCUAUGCGAUGAGUAAAUAAACUAAAGUGAGUGUG
This is a long non-coding RNA of Pseudoliparis swirei, 1396 nucleotides long. RefSeq lists it as uncharacterized. Lineage: Eukaryota; Metazoa; Chordata; Actinopteri; Perciformes; Liparidae. The transcript is spliced from 2 exons. The record is from RefSeq and is a predicted model, not a curated record.